This is a long non-coding RNA of Atta colombica, 280 nucleotides long. RefSeq lists it as uncharacterized. Lineage: Eukaryota; Metazoa; Arthropoda; Insecta; Hymenoptera; Formicidae. The transcript is spliced from 3 exons. The record is from RefSeq and is a predicted model, not a curated record.
GCGAAAUGGACGUGUAGCAUAGGUCGUUCCGCGUGUCGCAUUAAUCCACGAAAAUUAAAUACAUAUCUACGAAUUGAUAGUCAUAAUUUACCGUGAACAUGUCGAAGCGACUGCCGUUCGUCGAAGUUAGGUGAUCGGUGCAUGACCUUUAAGAUUGUUUUGGCACGAAAGGCGAGCGAUCGGGCCACUUUAUGCCAAUUACUGCGCAGUCAUUCCGUUAUCGAGGCUCGUAUAGACGAUAUUUUCCCUCUCACCUUGAUGAGAGGGCUCAAUACCCGGA